RNAcentral lists this long non-coding RNA (444 nucleotides) under Mytilus galloprovincialis (Mediterranean mussel). Lineage: Eukaryota; Metazoa; Mollusca; Bivalvia; Mytilida; Mytilidae. The record is from RNAcentral.
UCUUUCCAGAGGAUAACAAAAUCAUCAGCCUAAAGGAUGUAGGCAUGUAGACCGAAGAAUGAAAUUUUUACUGACAUCAAUUGUGAUGAACAUUCUCAGUAGGAUUGUGUCUUGUUUUAGUUUAAACAAAUUUAUUUAUAGUGGAUUGGGAAACAAGUUUUGCAACUUAUAUUAAUCCCUUUCCACUUUUGCGGGUUUUGUAAGACAUCUUGUGGCAGUAUAGAUGUACACAGUAAUUCAUUAGAAACAGAAAUAGAAUCUGAAUUAAAAAAUGUCUAUAAUCAAAGAAACUUUGAAAAUGGAUUAAUCUGUGAAAAAAAUACAACAAUUAUUACUUCCUAUGAAUAUUGUUGUUAUCUAUAUCUGACAGGUGUCUGAGCUUGCAGUCUGUAUUACAUAUUUUCUACGAACUUUCUUACUAUUUGGUUAAAUACGACUAUUUAU